Molecule: unclassified non-coding RNA, 280 nt
Filed under: Leohumicola sp.
Lineage: Eukaryota; Fungi; Ascomycota; Leotiomycetes
Description: partial contains 5.8S ribosomal RNA, internal transcribed spacer 2, and large subunit ribosomal RNA
Rfam family: 5.8S ribosomal RNA (bases 1-71)
Source: RNAcentral
GUGAGUCAUCGAAUCUUUGAACGCACAUUGCGCCCCUUGGCAUUCCGAGGGGCAUGCCCGUUCGAGCGUCAUUAUAACCCCUCAAGCCUAGCUUGGUGUUGGGGCCUGCUGUUACCGGCAGCCCUUAAAAUCAGUGGCGGUGCUAUCUGGCUCUAAGCGUAGUAAUACUUCUCGCUACAGGGUCCUGGUGGAUGCUUGCCAUCAACCCCUAAUUUUCUAUGGUUGACCUCGGAUCGGGUAGGGAUACCCGCUGAACUUAAGCAUAUCAAUAAGCGGAGGA